This 97-nucleotide ribosomal RNA is filed under the name uncultured bacterium. RNAcentral describes it as "partial 16S ribosomal RNA". It matches the Rfam family "Bacterial small subunit ribosomal RNA", at positions 1388 to 1482 of the family's 1533-position model. The record is from RNAcentral.
CACCGCCCGUCACACCAUGGGAGUCGGUUGCUCCAGAAGUGGCUGAGCUAACCCGCAAGGGAGGCAGGUCCCCAAGGAGUGUCCGAUGACUGGGGUG